AACUUUCAACAACGGAUCUCUUGGUUCUGGCAUCGAUGAAGAACGCAGCGAAAUGCGAUACGUAAUGUGAAUUGCAGAAUUCAGUGAAUCAUCGAAUCUUUGAACGCACAUUGCGCCCGCUGGUAUUCCAGCGGGCAUGCCUGUUCGAGCGUCAUUU
This 157-nucleotide ribosomal RNA is filed under the name Xylariaceae sp. VegaE1-89. RNAcentral's name for it is "5.8S ribosomal RNA". It matches the Rfam family "5.8S ribosomal RNA". From Rfam's summary of the family: 5.8S ribosomal RNA (5.8S rRNA) is a component of the large subunit of the eukaryotic ribosome. It is transcribed by RNA polymerase I as part of the 45S precursor that also contains 18S and 28S rRNA. Lineage: Eukaryota; Fungi; Ascomycota; Sordariomycetes; Xylariales; Xylariaceae. The record is from RNAcentral.